GCGGCGGUAGCCAAGCAUGGUCAAAGGCGUCAGAUUCAGGGUCUGAUCUCGCAGGAGUCCCCAGGUUCAAAUCCUGGCCGCCGCA
Euryarchaeota archaeon RBG_16_68_12 is the source of this 85-nucleotide non-coding RNA. The record is from Rfam. NCBI's taxonomy places the organism in Archaea, Methanobacteriati, Methanobacteriota.